CCUACGGGAGGCAGCAGUGGGGGAUAUUGCACAAUGGGGGAAACCCUGAUGCAGCGACGCCGCGUGAGUGAAGAAGUCUUUCGGUAUGUAAAGCUCUAUCAGCAGGGAAGAAAGUGACAGUGCCUGUCCACUUAGCCCCGGCUAACUCCGUGCCAGCAGCCGCGGUCUUACGUAGGGGGCAAGCGUUAUCCGGUUUUACUGGGUGUAAAGGGAGCGGAGACGGUUGUGUAAGUCUGGUGUGAAAGCCCUGGGCUCAACCCCGGGACUGCUUUGGAAACUGUGUAGCUGGAGUACAGGAGAGGCAGGCGGAAUUCCUGGUGUAGCGGUGAAAUGCGUAGAGAUCAGGAGGAACACCGGCGGCGAAGGCGGCCUGCUGGACUGAGACUGACGUUGAGGCUCGAAAGCGUGGGGAGCAAACAGGAUUAGAUACCCCUGUAGUC
This 440-nucleotide ribosomal RNA is filed under the name uncultured bacterium. Its description in RNAcentral is "partial 16S ribosomal RNA". It matches the Rfam family "Bacterial small subunit ribosomal RNA", at positions 338 to 795 of the family's 1533-position model. The record is from RNAcentral.